RNAcentral lists this long non-coding RNA (1003 nucleotides) under Mus caroli (Ryukyu mouse). RNAcentral's name for it is "lncRNA (MGP_CAROLIEiJ_G0006521.1)". The record is from RNAcentral. Lineage: Eukaryota; Metazoa; Chordata; Mammalia; Rodentia; Muridae.
AUGUGCCUUUCCACGCUUCCUGGCUAUCAGGAGCUUGUCUCUACUACACACUCCCACCAUGAAAUGUCUGCUUCACCACAGAAGAAAAAAACCAAUGAAACCAAACAACCAUGGACUGAAACCUCUAAAAACAUAAGCCAAAAUAAUAUUUACUCAGAGAAGUGGAUUGGGUAUUUUUUAUCACUGUGACAGGAAGUUGACUAACAGAUCAGGUCAACAGAAAUGCUGAAGAAGGAGUGCUCCCCGCCUUCCUCUCUUCCCAGCAUGCCUGCCACCCACCAUAAGUUAGGAGUGGAUGACAAGACAAUGUACCUGAAAGAUAGCAGGUCACCCUCUGCUCAGCCAGAGGGCAGGAAGAACAUCCAGUCAACAUCCUCGGGUUUACAGGAGUGGCCUGACUGGUGAGGCCAAGAAAAGUUUUUUAAGUGGCGAAGAAAUGGUUUGGUGCCAGCAGUGGUCACAGACACACUUUCUGUAGCACCCUGCCCUGUCAUGCCCCAGAGCACUGCUGAAGCUUGGCUCUCCCAGAAUUCCUCUGGGUCUGCAACGUUUUUUAGCUUUGGAACCACUCAUGCCUGUGGAGGAACCUGCAAUGUCCAGUGACCUAUGUGAAAAAAGAAAAGACAAACCAACAAAAGUUACCCAGCUAGGAUUGCAGAGUAAAACAAGCAGGAAGUUGAAUGUCAAGACUCAUGAUACAACUUAAAACUAACCCCCAUGGACAAUCCAUGGUUGGAACUCAUGCUGCCCAGCUAUGGUAUAAUAAACUGGAAUGCACUCUCUAAGCCUUGGAAAAGCUAAAAGAUACUGUGCAUUUGGACACACCAGCAAGGAGAAAGUGCUGUGGGCAGACUGAGCAAAGGCUGCUCCUGGAUGGACGCCCCGCUUCUGUGUUGGGAAGGAAGUGUGAGUCCCUGAGAAAGGGCUUUAUAAGUUUUUUAACUAACCAGAAGAGGACAGGUCUCUUGGCUAAAAACAAGCAAUAGCAAGGUUCAUUUUUGCC